GGCCACUAUAUAUUUAUUUUAUGACAUAUAAAGAAAAGUUACAGAAAGAAAUAUCAAACUUUCAAUUAUUACAAGCACUACAGUAUUACAUAAUUAAAUGCCUGAAAAUAAGGUUUCUUUGAGCAUAUCCGUCAACUAAUGCAUAUUGGGAGCGGACUUGACUUGAAGGAGAAUAAAGUUGAAACCCAUGUGCUUUUUCUUAUGGGUAAUGACUUUUCCACUCUAGAGUGCUCGAAGGCGAACAGGAAGACCUUUUUCAGGGGUUGGCAUCAUGUCUCCAAAAAUUUUUUCAUUUGGAAAUUCCAACUCCCAUUUGAACCUUUUCAUCACAUUGUGGAUAAAUGUUAGAAUUGCUAAUCUAGCAUACUCUUUUCCAGGGCACGUCCUAGGUCCUCCUCCAAAGGGUACAAAUGUGUAGGGUGGAAUUGCCUUUUCAUCAUUAUAUCUUGAUGGAUCAAAUAUUUCAGGAUUUGGGAAGUAUUCUGGAUUCUUGUUUGUUGUGCUCACUGUCCAAUAUAUCUUCCACCCCUUUGGAAUGGUAUAGCCUGCAUAUGUAAAGUCAGUUAUAGCCUCUCUGAAAGUUCCUUGAAGUGGAGGUGUAAGUCUCAUCACUUCAUACACCACAUUCCAUGAGUACUUCAUCUUCUGUAUAUCUUCCCAUUGCAACAGCUCCCCAUCCUUCUUUGCAGAGGCCACAUCCAUUUGCUCAUCAAGAAUCUUUUUGUAUAUAUCAGGUCUCUUGCCAACAUAUUUCAUGAAGAAAGUAAUCGCAGUAGCGACGGUGCUAUAUCCUGCAGUUAGUAAACCCAUCAUCUUGUCUGAAAUCUCGGCCUCCGGCAUGUGUGUGCCGGAAGGAUCAGUGGCGACGAUCAUAUGCGAAAGUAUGUCUUGCAUAGGUGCUCCUGAUGUGGAUAUGGCAUCUCUUUUCUCCUUAACUACUGAGGUCAACUCCUUGCGGAUUGCAGCCGCAGCUUUUUUGGCUCUGUAGAAGAUGGUUCCAGGGAAAUUCAAAGUGAAAGAAUGCAUCCCUACAGUUAUGUCAUCAAAGUUGCUCACAAGCCUUGCAAUCCUCUCAGGAUCAUCAGUGCCCAAGAAGAAGCGACAAGCCAGGGACAAAGUUAAUGUCUUAGCAAGAGGAGAGACCUUGACAGUGUCUUUUCCCUCCCAAUAGCUUUGCAUUUGUUGCUGUGUGAUGGAGUCCAUUUUCCCCAAGUAUCUCACCAAGGCCUCCGGCUUCAAGAAUGCCGGUGAUCGGAGAAUUUUAGCCUCAUUUUCGCUUGGGGCAGGAGCUUUAGCUUGGUAGGAACGAAAGAGCUUCUGCAUGGAAUGAGGACGAAACACAGUAAAAAGCUUCUGCUCGUUGGAGAAGAGAAAUUUAUGUCCAUUAGGACCGCAUAUGACAGCAGUUUUCUCCCCAAGAAUCUUGGUCUUGAAGAUGUCAGGAGAGUAUUUCUUCAUCCUUUUGAAGACAAAGUUUUCCGGCUUGCCAAACAAGAACUCAAUUGUUUCACCCAUGAUUGGCCAUCCCAUACUCCCUGGAGGGAGGUUUUUGGCACCACCAAACUGACGCUUAAAUGCAAAGGCAAGAAAAUAAGCAAGAAAGGCAACAAUAAGAGCGAUGAAUAAUAUUGAAGGCGUGAGAAAGAAUUCCAUGGUUAAUCACUAGCGAGCAAUUUAAUUGAAGAUAUGAAUUAGAGAAUUAUGGUAUGAGUUAAAGAGGUGUGGGGAGAUU
This 1732-nucleotide unclassified non-coding RNA is filed under the name Hevea brasiliensis (rubber tree). The record is from RNAcentral. Lineage: Eukaryota; Viridiplantae; Streptophyta; Magnoliopsida; Malpighiales; Euphorbiaceae.